GUAGGGAAUCUUCCACAAUGGACGAAAGUCUGAUGGAGCAACGCCGCGUGAGUGAAGAAGGUUCUCGGAUCGUAAAACUCUGUUGUGAGGGAAGAACAAGUACCGGAGUAACUGCCGGUACCUUGACGGUACCUCAUUAGAAAGCCACGGCUAACUACGUGCCAGCAGCCGCGGUAAUACGUAGGUGGCAAGCGUUGUCCGGAAUCAUUGGGCGUAAAGCGCGCGCAGGCGGUCCCUUAAGUCUGAUGUGAAAGCCCACGGCUCAACCGUGGAGGGUCAUUGGAAACUGGGGGACUUGAGUGCAGAAGAGGAAAGCGGAAUUCCAAGUGUAGCGGUGAAAUGCGUAGAGAUUUGGAGGAACACCAGUGGCGAAGGCGGCUUUCUGGUCUGUAACUGACGCUGAGGCGCGAAAGCGUGGGGAGCAAACAGGAUUAGAAACCCUUGUAGUCC
Molecule: ribosomal RNA, 450 nt
Filed under: uncultured bacterium
Lineage: Bacteria
Description: partial 16S ribosomal RNA
Rfam family: Bacterial small subunit ribosomal RNA
Source: RNAcentral